This 451-nucleotide ribosomal RNA is filed under the name uncultured bacterium. Its description in RNAcentral is "partial 16S ribosomal RNA". It matches the Rfam family "Bacterial small subunit ribosomal RNA", at positions 29 to 523 of the family's 1533-position model. The record is from RNAcentral.
AACGAACGCUGGCGGCAGGCUUAACACAUGCAAGUCGAACGCGUGUAGCAAUACACGAGUGGCGCACGGGUGAGUAACGCGUGGAUAUCUGCCUUUUGGUUCGGAAUAACCCCGGGAAACUGGGGCUAAUACCGGAUGGUUCCUUCGGGAUAAAGAUUUAUCGCCAAAAGAUGAGUCCGCGUCCGAUUAGCUAGUUGGUGAGGUAAUGGCUCACCAAGGCGACGAUCGGUGGCUGGUCUGAGAGGACGAUCAGCCACACUGGGACUGAGACACGGCCCAGACUCCUACGGGAGGCAGCAGUGGGGAAUAUUGGACAAUGGGGGCAACCCUGAUCCAGCCAUGCCGCGUGAGUGAUGAAGGCCUUCGGGUUGUAAAGCUCUGUUGGCGGGGACGAUGAUGACGGUACCCGCAGAAUAAGCCCCGGCUAACUUCGUGCCAGCCGCCGCAGUAA